Molecule: long non-coding RNA, 1038 nt
Organism: Mustela erminea (ermine)
Lineage: Eukaryota; Metazoa; Chordata; Mammalia; Carnivora; Mustelidae
Exons: 3
Source: RefSeq, a predicted model, not a curated record
UCUCUAAAAAAAUUAUAAGCAUGCAGGGCAAGUAACAUGGGAGGAGCAGAAUUUGGGAAUGGGGUAUGUGUUCGAAGUCUGUCCAAAAUGCUCAGUAUUUUCAUGAACAUUGGAAGGCGGACACGAGAUGAGAGAAGAAGAGAAUUGCAACCUGUUCUGGAAGGCAAGCCUGACCGUUCAUGUUUUCUUUCCUCCUUGGUUCUGCCUUCUCAGGACUCACCCUUCCCCAGGAGAGGAACCUGGAGGAGGACUCAAUGGUCCUUGCUAUUCUGAAAGCCAUGGCCUAGUGUCUUUCGAUGGACAUACCUCCCUUGAUGAAGGAAGUUGUGCUGCUCUCAACAGAAACACCAAGUAUGGACCCUUCCCUUGAAUUGCCACAGUUACCUUACUGUGCUCGCCAGCCUCAGCUCUGCCAUGUCCGUUUCCGUCCUUCUGUUUUUCUAGUCAUAAAUAUUUACUUCAACGGCACACAUUCUCGGUUUGUUGUUUCAAGGGUCAGUGAUGUAUAGUGAUGUGGCAACAGUCUUCUCAGGUUGAGGGGGGCAGGCCGGACCCUGCUAGGAUUUGUGCAGAGACGGAAUGCUGGAGAACUUAAGCAACUUCAUCUCUAGGUAAGAUGUUAGGACCCUGGAAGGGUGUAAUUUGUCUACUGGAGUAUCUGCUGCCUUUGGUGUGAAUUUCUGAGGUGCCUUUCAAGACUCUGGUUGAAUUUCCACUCUGCUCUCAAUGAGAUUGUACUGAACAGGGAUGUAUAGUUCUGUAGGAUAACACCUAAAGAAGCUUCUUCUCCAUUACAAAAAUGACUUCCUUCUCUUCUCUGGCCUUAUUUUCUGGUAACCAGGAACUGGAAAUUAAUACUGAGACACCUCCUUUGUGACUCUGCUGCAUUUCUUCUUGGGUACACAGGAUUUUCUAUUUCUAAGCCCAAUGUGAUCUCCUUACUGGAACAAUGGAAUGAAUCCUGGUUGGCAGAAAGAGAUGUAAUGGGAAGCCCAUGCCGGAGAUCACAAGUAGGCAGAGAGAGAGGAGGAAACAGGC